GCUGGUGUAGCUCAGUUGGUAGAGCACCUGAUUUGUAAUCAGAAGGUCGUGGGUUCAACUCCCUCCACCAGCU
RNAcentral lists this transfer RNA (73 nucleotides) under Stephanopyxis turris. RNAcentral describes it as "tRNA-Thr". It matches the Rfam family "tRNA". From Rfam's summary of the family: Transfer RNA (tRNA) molecules are approximately 80 nucleotides in length. Their secondary structure includes four short double-helical elements and three loops (D, anti-codon, and T loops). Lineage: Eukaryota; Bacillariophyta; Melosirophyceae; Stephanopyxales; Stephanopyxidaceae. The record is from RNAcentral.